This 403-nucleotide ribosomal RNA is filed under the name uncultured bacterium. RNAcentral describes it as "partial 16S ribosomal RNA". It matches the Rfam family "Bacterial small subunit ribosomal RNA", at positions 29 to 526 of the family's 1533-position model. The record is from RNAcentral.
AUUGAACGCUGGCGGCAGGCUUAACACAUGCAAGUCGAGCGAGCGGCGGACGGGUGAGUAAUGUAUGGGGACUGCCCGAUAGAGGGGGAUAACUACUGGAAACGGUGGCUAAUACCGCAUACUAUCGGAUAACCCAUAUGGGAUUAGCUAGUAGGUGGGGUAAAGGCUAACCUAGGCGACGAUCUCUAGCUGGUCUGAGAGGAUGACCAUCCAAACGGGGACUGAGACACGGCCCAGACGCCUACGGAGGCAGCAGUGGGGAAUAUUGCACAAGGGGAGCAAGCCUGAGGCAGCCAUGCCGCGGGUAUGAAGAGGGCCUUAGGGUUGUAAAGUACUUUCAGCGGGGAGGCGUUACCCGCAGAAGAAGCACCGGCUAACUCCGUGCCAGCAGCCGCGGUAAUUC